GAGUUUGAUCCUGGCUCAGGAUGAACGCUGGCGGCGUGCUUAACACAUGCAAGUCGAACGAAGCACUUUAUUUGAUUUCCUUCGGGACUGAUUAUUUUGUGACUGAGUGGCGGACGGGUGAGUAACGCGUGGGUAACCUGCCUUGUACAGGGGGAUAACAGUUGGAAACGGCUGCUAAUACCGCAUAAGCGCACAGCAUCGCAUGAUGCAGUGUGAAAAACUCCGGUGGUAUAAGAUGGACCCGCGUUGGAUUAGCUGGUUGGCAGGGCAGCGGCCUACCAAGGCGACGAUCCAUAGCCGGCCUGAGAGGGUGAACGGCCACAUUGGGACUGAGACACGGCCCAGACUCCUACGGGAGGCAGCAGUGGGGAAUAUUGCACAAUGGGGGAAACCCUGAUGCAGCGACGCCGCGUGAAGGAAGAAGUAUCUCGGUAUGUAAACUUCUAUCAGCAGGGAAGAUAAUGACGGUACCUGACUAAGAAGCCCCGGCUAACUACGUGCCAGCCGCCGCGGUAAUAC
RNAcentral lists this ribosomal RNA (519 nucleotides) under uncultured bacterium. Its description in RNAcentral is "bacterial SSU rRNA". It matches the Rfam family "Bacterial small subunit ribosomal RNA", at positions 9 to 526 of the family's 1533-position model. The record is from RNAcentral.